UACAAAGCUUAAAUGCGUGGCUACUUUCAC
Molecule: non-coding RNA, 30 nt
Filed under: Mus musculus (house mouse)
Lineage: Eukaryota; Metazoa; Chordata; Mammalia; Rodentia; Muridae
Source: RNAcentral